This is a long non-coding RNA of Peromyscus leucopus (white-footed mouse), 731 nucleotides long. RefSeq lists it as uncharacterized. Lineage: Eukaryota; Metazoa; Chordata; Mammalia; Rodentia; Cricetidae. The record is from RefSeq and is a predicted model, not a curated record. The transcript is spliced from 3 exons.
AGGUGGAAAGGCAAGAGAGAAUGAACCUGAUUCUGCAGCCCCUUUUUAAAAUAACAUUGAUCCACACCUGAGAUACCUGAGAUGGAGACCGAAACAUAUCCUCAAAGACUGAUCUCGAAUAGCACUUCACUGGCGAUUAAGUUUUCAAUGAGCCUGGGAUUUGAAGUCAAAUGGCUUUGUGAGUUUAAAUCCUGUCCAAAGUAUCAUUAGGUACAGCAUAUUGGACACAUUCUUCUGGGACUUUAUGCUGGACAGAGACAUUGAAACAAUGGUUCAAAGAAUGGAGGGGACCACUGAGUCAAGACAGAAACGAAACGAUCCUCUGAGUUCUCGUGCAACUAUUUAAUGCUGUCUGUGUCUAGUACUUUGGAUGCUGAAUGUCUUAUAAAGAUCCAUGUGCUGAAGACUUGGAUCAUAGGGUGAGGCUGUUGAUAUUUAAGAUUGGAGCCUUUCGGGUGGUCUUUAGGUCACUGUGGCAUGUCAUUGAAUUGGACAUUGGUAGUGGAACCCUAGUACCUAUGUGUGCCUUUGCUUUCUGGAUCCUGACAUGGGCAGCUUGCUCCACAGCAUACCCUCCACAAUUGCCUUCCUGAACACCCUCCAGGGGUCUAGAGCAAUGGAUUCUCCCAGUUUUAAACAGGAGUUUCCAAAACCAUGAGCCAAAUAAAUAUUUUUCUCUUAUAGGUUAAUUAUGUCAGAUAUUUUAUAAUAGUAAUAUACUCUUGCCAGUA